Molecule: long non-coding RNA, 2164 nt
Filed under: Pan troglodytes (chimpanzee)
Lineage: Eukaryota; Metazoa; Chordata; Mammalia; Primates; Hominidae
Description: long non-coding RNA NONPTRT001344
Source: RNAcentral
GGAGGAGAGCCAGGCUGGGUGCCUGUGGAUGGUGCUUCCCCACAGCCCUGCCUCCUGAUGCCUUGGUGCCCAGUGGAGCAGGCGGGUUGGCCACCCAUGCCAGUCCUGUGACCAAUCUUGUUAUAGGUCCACACCUUAGUUUAUGUUACCAGUCAGGUCUUUUCCAGGGCAAAUGUACUCUGAUUCUUUAAGAACAGAGCCAUGAUUUCUGUGGUCUGAUUUGGAUUUUUAGCUGGAAGCUUUCUAAGUUUUAAAUACCCAUGUCCAUCAGGAAGUCCUUAAAGAAGAAAUAAUUUAUCAAAAAAUAAAAAGGUGUGGAGUUAGAUAGGAUGGUAAUUUCAGCCCUCCCAACCCACUGGCUAGAGGCUCAGAGAUCAUACAAGGCAGUGUUAACUUAAAAAAAAAGUCAUACAAUGUGUACAUUUGGAAAGGAGACUUUAUUUCUUACAAAGGGUUCCAUCCUGCAAGGUGGCCAUCCCGCAGGCUGGGAAGUAUAGCCAGGCACUUUGAGGGAAGGAGAGGUAAGACAAGAAUUUAAGUUGAAUGGGUUGAUCAAACAUACAUAUUUAACAGGUUAUAGGAGGAGCUGUGACUAUUCACGAAGGAGGUCCUCACACAUGGAUAAUGAACUAAUGUGCGUGUAACACACGACCCAUGUUCACCUUGGGGUGGAGACUUAUCCUUUAAGUGUAUUACAGUUAGGCCCUAUGCGUCAAAAGAUCCUUUCGGGACACAGAAGCACUGAAGUGGGGAGCCUCUGUAAACUGGCCAGACCCAGUUCAUGGUUGGUGGUCUUCUUAUCUGGAGAAAGUUACUGAUAUCAGUCUUGUCCAAUCAAAGCUGUGGUUAUGGCUGAUGGAACGGAGGCUCAUUUAGUCAGCAUUUGUGAAUGGAAUGAGUUGUAGUUGUUCUAACAUUGCUCAUCUUGGGGCCAGUGCUUGUUGAGAUGCCAGAGAAAAAAAACCUUGUGGCCGUGAGAACGCAGUUUUUUCUUAAGGUGUAGGGGUGCGGGACUUAACCAUUGCCUGGCAGGGCUUUAGGUUCUGUGUAUAAUUUGGUAUCUUAUGGCCACCAAGAGUCUUUUCUGUUAGUCUUAAGAUCUCUGUUUUAACAUUAAUGCUGGUCAGUUGUGUCUAAACUGCAAAAGAGAGGGGGUAUAAUGAGGGGUGUCUCACCUCCCAUCCUGUCAUGGCUGGGAACUCAGUUUUUAAGGUUUUUCUGGGGUCCCCUUGGCCAAAAGGGAGUCUGUUAAGUCAAUGGAGGAGCUUAGGAUUUUAUUUUUAGGGUACACUAGUGAAGAAAAAAGCAAACAAACAAAAUUCUGUAAACAGCAAUGAGGAUGUUACAAUCACUCUGUGUUUUACUUGUCAUCAUGUUACUGGAAGCCACAUUAGACAGCUCGUCCUUGUGACUGCUUUCCAAAGAAGACAUGAGCAGGAAUGUUUCUGGUGUGAUCAGUAUGCAAAUGCCGCAUUUCAGGUCUGACUUCUUUACCUUUGUUCCAUGUCCUUAGAAAACACUUUCUACCAGGACUUUUCUGGAUGUCAAGGCUACUCUGAAGCCCCUGGGUACCGCUCAGCUCUGUGGCUGACACCUGAGCAGACCUGCCUGCUCCAGCCCAGCCCACAGCAGCCCUUUCCCCUCCAGCUGGGCUCCUACCCAGCAGGAGGGGGUGCAGGGCAGACAGGGACACCGAGGCCUUUUUACUCAGUUCCUGAGACCCAUCUACCAGGGACUGGCAGCAGCGUGGCAGUGACAGAGGCCACUGGAGGAACAGUCUGGGAGGAAACGCUGCAGACACACCUGGGCCCUGGAGAGAACACAGUGUCUCAAGAAACUUCCCAGCCUCCUGAUGGCCAAGAGGUCAUUUCCAAACCACAGGUGAGAGCGCACAGCAUAAAAGAUGCCACUGCCCACUCAAAUGCUUCUGGUUUUUACCAGUUGCCUUGGUUUCCCGGCCACAUGCAAGCUCCUCCUCAGUGUUGCAGCAGCUUUCUCUUCCACAUCUCACCUUGCCUUUUCCUAUUCCAACUCCUGGGAGCUGGGCGGGAGGCUGUGUUCUUGUUUACACUCAGCCCCACAAACCUGUGUCCAUGAGGAGAGAGGGAGCAACUGAGCUGAUUCGUUUUGGCCUCUCAGAUCUCUGUUACCUCUGACAUCUUCU